RNAcentral lists this long non-coding RNA (638 nucleotides) under Mytilus galloprovincialis (Mediterranean mussel). The record is from RNAcentral. Lineage: Eukaryota; Metazoa; Mollusca; Bivalvia; Mytilida; Mytilidae.
CACUCAUAUUGAACUAUACGAUGGUAUCUAGACAGGUUAGACAACAGGAGUUAAGGUAAUAAAAAGUUUGCCAUGGCGAAAUUUUAUUAAAACAUUGCGUUGUAAGUGUAUACUUUUACUCUUUUAUUUAAGCAUGUCCUCAAGGAUUAAUAUAUGUGUGAUAAUUGUCUGUAAAUUUCAGUUCAUUAAUAUAUAUAUAUUCAUUUUUAAUUGUGCUUUUGGUAAUUCAAAUUCCUUUCAGGCAGGUCUGAUGUUUUGGUUGUACUGUUGUAAAUGGUUUGCUCUCUAGCGGUUUUUUAAAGGUUAUUUUUUAGUGAGCGGAUGAAGGUUACUUCAGAAACACACGUUGUCUAAACGGAAAUCAUACCUCAUGUUUAAUUAACGAAUUGCUACAAAUAUGUGACUUAUGUCAUCAGGACUCUUUGAUCAUCUUUAAGAUUCUGGCAUAGUUAGUGAAACAAAAAAGAAGGAAGUUCUAAAAAAUAUAUAAUUUACAAAAAUGCAUGAGUGAAAAAAAGCAACUUACCGGCUAUAUCGGAACAAUCGAAAUGUCAAUAUCCUCUCCAUGAUUUACCUCUUAUAGUCCUAUUUCUUUUACCUAACUGUACUUGGGAGUUACUCCGCCCAUUGGUUUAUUG